AGACAAGAGUUUUCAAGUUAUUUAUUGAGACUUGAUUUCGAAUUUUUAUUUCCUACCUGUUAGGCAUUUCCGUUGCUAGUUAAUAAGUUUAUUUUAUUUAUUUAAAGAUUUCUAUUUUAUUUCUUUUAUUUUUUGUUUCAAAGUUCCCUGCCGGGGUAUUUUUGGUCAUUUAAUAAUUCAUAAGAAAUAAGGAUGUUAU
This 199-nucleotide long non-coding RNA is filed under the name Linum usitatissimum (flax). RNAcentral describes it as "long non-coding RNA (LUSI_LNC007855)". The record is from RNAcentral. Lineage: Eukaryota; Viridiplantae; Streptophyta; Magnoliopsida; Malpighiales; Linaceae.